GGACGGGUGAGUAACACGUGGGUAACCUGCCUGUAAGACUGGGAUAACUCCGGGAAACCGGAGCUAAUACCGGAUAGUUCCUUGAACCGCAUGGUUCAAGGAUGAAAGACGGUUUCGGCUGUCACUUACAGAUGGACCCGCGGCGCAUUAGCUAGUUGGUGAGGUAACGGCUCACCAAGGCGACGAUGCGUAGCCGACCUGAGAGGGUGAUCGGCCACACUGGGACUGAGACACGGCCCAGACUCCUACGGGAGGCAGCAGUAGGGAAUCUUCCGCAAUGGACGAAAGUCUGACGGAGCAACGCCGCGUGAGUGAUGAAGGUUUUCGGAUCGUAAAGCUCUGUUGUUAGGGAAGAACAAGUGCAAGAGUAACUGCUUGCACCUUGACGGUACCUAACCAGAAAGCCACGGCUAACUACGUGCCAGCAGCCGCGGUAAUACGUAGGUGGCAAGCGUUGUCCGGAAUUAUUGGGCGUAAAGGGCUCGCAGGCGGUUUCUUAAGUCUGAUGUGAAAGCCCCCGGCUCAACCGGGGAGGGUCAUUGGAAACUGGGAAACUUGAGUGCAGAAGAGGAGAGUGGAAUUCCACGUGUAGCGGUGAAAUGCGUAGAGAUGUGGAGGAACACCAGUGGCGAAGGCGACUCUCUGGUCUGUAACUGACGCUGAGGAGCGAAAGCGUGGGGAGCGAACAGGAUUAGAUACCCUGGUAGUCCACGCCGUAAACGAUGAGUGCUAAGUGUUAGGGGGUUUCCGCCCCUUAGUGCUGCAGCUAACGCAUUAAGCACUCCGCCUGGGGAGUACGGUCGCAAGACUGAAACUCAAAGGAAUUGACGGGGGCCCGCACAAGCGGUGGAGCAUGUGGUUUAAUUCGAAGCAACGCGAAGAACCUUACCAGGUCUUGACAUCCUCUGACAACCCUAGAGAUAGGGCUUUCCCUUCGGGGACAGAGUGACAGGUGGUGCAUGGUUGUCGUCAGCUCGUGUCGUGAGAUGUUGGGUUAAGUCCCGCAACGAGCGCAACCCUUGAUCUUAGUUGCCAGCAUUCAGUUGGGCACUCUAAGGUGACUGCCGGUGACAAACCGGAGGAAGGUGGGGAUGACGUCAAAUCAUCAUGCCCCUUAUGACCUGGGCUACACACGUGCUACAAUGGACAGAACAAAGGGCUGCGAGACCGCAAGGUUUAGCCAAUCCCACAAAUCUGUUCUCAGUUCGGAUCGCAGUCUGCAACUCGACUGCGUGAAGCUGGAAUCGCUAGU
Molecule: ribosomal RNA, 1252 nt
Filed under: Bacillus aerophilus
Lineage: Bacteria; Bacillati; Bacillota; Bacilli; Caryophanales; Bacillaceae
Description: bacterial SSU rRNA
Rfam family: Bacterial small subunit ribosomal RNA
Source: RNAcentral